Molecule: small nuclear RNA, 104 nt
Organism: Pipistrellus kuhlii (Kuhl's pipistrelle)
Lineage: Eukaryota; Metazoa; Chordata; Mammalia; Chiroptera; Vespertilionidae
Source: RefSeq, a predicted model, not a curated record
GUGCUCAUUUUGGAGCACAUACACUAAGAUUAGAGUGAUACACAAAAGAUUAGCAUGGCCCCUAUGCAAGGAUGACACAAAUUCAUGAAGCAUUUCAUGUUUUU